RNAcentral lists this ribosomal RNA (746 nucleotides) under Dracaena reflexa var. angustifolia. RNAcentral's name for it is "eukaryotic LSU rRNA". The stretch from base 289 to 444 matches the Rfam family "5.8S ribosomal RNA". Lineage: Eukaryota; Viridiplantae; Streptophyta; Magnoliopsida; Asparagales; Asparagaceae. The record is from RNAcentral. RNAcentral also lists the same sequence under 1 other name.
AGAAGUCGUAACAAGGUUUCUGUAGGUGAACCUGUGGAAGGAUCAUUAUCGAGGCCCAAACGGAUAAUCACGAAUCCGUCAACCUCCCGUAGAGGCAGAGGUAUGACAGCAUCUGCCCAUCUAACCCUACCACCCCGGGGCACCCAUGGCUACCCCCCAUCCCACCUCGUUGCAAGACGGGCGGUGGGAACAGUACCCAGCUCAGUGGGCACCAGGGAACAUUCACAGUCAGAGAGCGCCAUAAGCCGGUUCCAGCGCGCGAUGCAAUCCUUCCAUACGAACUUUUAUGACUCCCGGUAACGGAUAUCUUGACUCUCGCAUCGAUGAAGAACAUAACAAAAUGUGAUACUUUGUGUGAAUUACAAAAUCCUGUGAACCAUCGAGUCUUUGAAUGCAAGUUGCACCCGAGGCUAUCCGGCCGAGGGCACGCCUACCUGGGCAUCAUGCUUUGUGUCAUUCUACACACCGUGAGCCAUCCUCCGAGCAGGGGCAAUGGCAGGCACAGAUGCAGAGAUUGGCCCCCAUGACUUGCGGCGCGGCGGUCCGAAGUGUAGGCUGCCGGCCGGAAAUGAAUGCGGUGAGUGCUGGAUGGACACGUACGGUGCCAGACACUGCCUCCACUGCCAGCUGUAGCGAUUCAUGCAAGGAACCCAUGCUGUCGGGUGUGCUCGUACACACCCCUCAGAACCUGACUGCAAGUCAGGAGGGGCCACACACCGAGCUUAAGCAUAUAAAUAAGCGGAGGA